RNAcentral lists this long non-coding RNA (900 nucleotides) under Helianthus annuus (common sunflower). Its description in RNAcentral is "sRNA HanXRQr2_Chr12g0541191". The record is from RNAcentral. Lineage: Eukaryota; Viridiplantae; Streptophyta; Magnoliopsida; Asterales; Asteraceae.
GAUAAUUUACUAAAACUUAAAAGAAAUACACCACCCACACAUAGGAAGUGUGGGUGUGUCGCCUGGAACAAGGAGAAAAGAGGGGAAAACCCUCUUAUUCAACAAAUCAGUGAAAUUGGAAGGGAAAAUCAAAGUCUGAUUGUAUGCAUGAAUACCAAUCCUUGAUCACCUAAGAAUUUCCUGCAUAAGGGAUCAAGGAAGAAAGCUCGAGUCGUUCCGGGUCGCAAACAAACAACGACAAAGGUAAAGCGACUUAUUAAAUGGCGUUACUUGGAUCGAACACAUUCAUGAUGCACGCUUCCGUGAAGAAACUAGUUUUAGUCAAAACUUUUGUUAAAUGCUUUUCUUUUGUUCCAAACGGGUCUUUUGUAAGUUUUAUGAUCCGAAAGUAGUAGAUGUUGAACUUGUAGUUAAAAGACUAUGUUAGUAGUUUAUGUAAUGUUUGGGUUAAAAACUUUUGUAGUCGUUAUGUUGUUCGUUACCAAGUUAAAUGCAGAAUUUUGGUUUGUAAAUUAUUCGACCCGUUUACUUCUUUGUUAAAUGAAAGUUCGUUAGUGUCCUUUUUUAAGUUUUAGACCUUACAGCAUAUGUGUUCAUUUGUCAUCUCUAGCUAACUGAUAUAAUAUUAUUCGCAUAACAAUGACCGUUUUGAACUCUGAAAACGGUAUAGCAACAAUAUAAUAUACACGUGUUUCUGAAGUUUGACCGAGAUGACACAAUCGAAACUGGUUGACCGAGUUACAAAUACGAAUGUCAUAAACUGCGCAUUAUUGGCAACUAUACAUGUUCAAUAACAAGAACAUGAUGUGCACACACAUAAUUCUAGUUCUGUUUCCUGAAGAUCUCAGUAUUGGCCUGAUAUGCCAGAUAAAGUUCUUGUAUUUGCAUUUUCAACUAUGA